AGAGUUUGAUCAUGGCUCAGGACGAACGCUGGCGGCGUGCCUAAUACAUGCAAGUCGAGCGAGCGGAACUAACAGAUUUACUUCGGUAAUGACGUUAGGAAAGCGAGCGGCGGAUGGGUGAGUAACACGUGGGGAACCUGCCCCAUAGUCUGGGAUACCACUUGGAAACAGGUGCUAAUACCGGAUAAGAAAGCAGAUCGCAUGAUCAGCUUUUAAAAGGCGGCGUAAGCUGUCGCUAUGGGAUGGCCCCGCGGUGCAUUAGCUAGUUGGUAAGGUAAAGGCUUACCAAGGCGAUGAUGCAUAGCCGAGUUGGGAGACUGAUCGGCCACAUUGGGACUGAGACACGGCCCAAACUCCUACGGGAGGCAGCAGUAGGGAAUCUUCCACAAUGGACGCAAGUCUGAUGGAGCAACGCCGCGUGAGUGAAGAAGGUUUUCGGAUCGUAAAGCUCUGUUGUUGGUGAAGAAGGAUAGAGGUAGUAACUGGCCUUUAUUUGACGGUAAUCAACCAGAAAGUCACGGCUAACUACGUGCCAGCAGCCGCGGUAAUACGUAGGUGGCAAGCGUUGUCCGGAUUUAUUGGGCGUAAAGCGAGCGCAGGCGGAAGAAUAAGUCUGAUGUGAAAGCCCUCGGCUUAACCGAGGAACUGCAUCGGAAACUGUUUUUCUUGAGUGCAGAAGAGGAGAGUGGAACUCCAUGUGUAGCGGUGGAAUGCGUAGAUAUAUGGAAGAACACCAGUGGCGAAGGCGGCUCUCUGGUCUGCAACUGACGCUGAGGCUCGAAAGCAUGGGUAGCGAACAGGAUUAGAUACCCUGGUAGUCC
RNAcentral lists this ribosomal RNA (821 nucleotides) under uncultured bacterium. Its description in RNAcentral is "bacterial SSU rRNA". It matches the Rfam family "Bacterial small subunit ribosomal RNA", at positions 8 to 796 of the family's 1533-position model. The record is from RNAcentral.